Molecule: long non-coding RNA, 790 nt
Organism: Amphiprion ocellaris (clown anemonefish)
Lineage: Eukaryota; Metazoa; Chordata; Actinopteri; Pomacentridae
Source: Ensembl
UUAAGUAUUUUUACUCCAAAUAUUUACUGGACUGAUUUAAACAUUAAAAUUACUCCUUUCUAAUCCUCUGCUGUAUGUUCAAACCUGAGGCCUUAAAUAGAAACACACAAGUAUCUGAUUGAAGGAACUUCUGCAGAGUCCUGGUUCCAGAACAUGAUGAUAAAAUUAUAGACAAACUUCAACAAAAGCUGCCUGAGAGUUUACAGGUUUUUAUGUUAGAUUUCUUCAGUAAUUUAAUGAGCGUUAUCAGCAAUAAUCAAGUGUUCAUUUGAUGAACUUCAUUUCCUAAAACAUCCAGAAUUGGAGCUCAUAUCUUUGGCAGCUGUAAAGUUUCUGCUCCUUCAAAGUUCACAACACAAUGAAUGAAUUCCUAAAACACUCUCAAUGCUGGAGAGCGUUUGUGAUGCUGAAGCAGUGACCAGUUUUUCUGUUUCUUCUCUGGAGAUGCACAAUGAGGGACGUCUGCAGCGACUGAGAAAGAGUCUCACCACAUCCUGACAUGAGGAAAAAGACUUUAUUGAAGACUACAAUGAGAAAAACUAUCAGACAGCAGACGGCUGCAUUCAAGUCUGUAGCUGCUGAAUUCAUGGAUGAAUCAUCUGGCACUAGAGAGGAAGACCAUCAAACAUCCACGUCAGCUGAUGGAGGUCCAAGAGUCUCACCAAACAACCAACCUACAGAGUGAAGACCUCGAAUCUGAUUGGACGGCCUCCUAUUCAGCCACAUGUGUGAACAAAUGCCUCUAAGUUGAUUUGUUUUCUAAAAUAAAUCUAGUUUGAGUCCUAAUCUA